This 652-nucleotide ribosomal RNA is filed under the name Salmonella enterica subsp. enterica serovar Typhimurium. Its description in RNAcentral is "bacterial LSU rRNA". It matches the Rfam family "Bacterial large subunit ribosomal RNA", at positions 560 to 1211 of the family's 2925-position model. The record is from RNAcentral. Lineage: Bacteria; Pseudomonadati; Pseudomonadota; Gammaproteobacteria; Enterobacterales; Enterobacteriaceae.
GUACGUACAAGCAGUGGGAGCACAGGUUUACCUGUGUGACUGCGUACCUUUUGUAUAAUGGGUCAGCGACUUAUAUUCUGUAGCAAGGUUAACCGAAUAGGGGAGCCGGAGGGAAACCGAGUCUUAAUUGGGCGUUAAGUUGCAGGGUAUAGACCCGAAACCCGGUGAUCUAGCCAUGGGCAGGUUGAAGGUUGGGUAACACUAACUGGAGGACCGAACCGACUAAUGUUGAAAAAUUAGCGGAUGACCUGUGGCUGGGGGUGAAAGGCCAAUCAAACCGGGAGAUAGCUGGUUCUCCCCGAAAGCUAUUUAGGUAGCGCCUCGUGAAUUCAUCUCCGGGGGUAGAGCACUGUUUCGGCUAGGGGGCCAUCCCGGCUUACCAACCCGAUGCAAACUGCGAAUACCGGAGAAUGUUAUCACGGGAGACACACGGCGGGUGCUAACGUCCGUCGUGAAGAGGGAAACAACCCAGACCGCCAGCUAAGGUCCCAAAGUCAUGGUUAAGUGGGAAACGAUGUGGGAAGGCCCAGACAGCCAGGAUGUUGGCUUAGAAGCAGCCAUCAUUUAAAGAAAGCGUAAUAGCUCACUGGUCGAGUCGGCCUGCGCGGAAGAUGUAACGGGGCUAAACCAUGCACCGAAGCUGCGGCAGCGA